This 29-nucleotide small RNA is filed under the name Bombyx mori (domestic silkworm). Its description in RNAcentral is "ovarian small RNA-37510". The record is from RNAcentral. Lineage: Eukaryota; Metazoa; Arthropoda; Insecta; Lepidoptera; Bombycidae.
UUCUCUAGCACUGCUGAAAACAACUUUGG